Molecule: ribosomal RNA, 463 nt
Filed under: Vreelandella stevensii
Lineage: Bacteria; Pseudomonadati; Pseudomonadota; Gammaproteobacteria; Oceanospirillales; Halomonadaceae
Description: partial 16S ribosomal RNA
Rfam family: Bacterial small subunit ribosomal RNA
Source: RNAcentral
CCUACGGGCGGCAGCAGUGGGGAAUAUUGGACAAUGGGCGAAAGCCUGAUCCAGCCAUGCCGCGUGUGUGAAGAAGGCCUUCGGGUUGUAAAGCACUUUCAGUGGGGAAGAAAGCCUUGGGGCUAAUACCCUCGAGGAAGGACAUCACCCACAGAAGAAGCACCGGCUAACUCCGUGCCAGCAGCCGCGGUAAUACGGAGGGUGCGAGCGUUAAUCGGAAUUACUGGGCGUAAAGCGCGCGUAGGCGGUCUGAUAAGCCGGUUGUGAAAGCCCCGGGCUCAACCUGGGAACGGCAUCCGGAACUGUCAGGCUAGAGUGCAGGAGAGGAAGGUAGAAUUCCCGGUGUAGCGGUGAAAUGCGUAGAGAUCGGGAGGAAUACCAGUGGCGAAGGCGGCAUUCUGGACUGACACUGACGCUGAGGUGCGAAAGCGUGGGUAGCAAACAGGAUUAGAUACCCUGUAGU